Schistosoma mansoni is the source of this 45-nucleotide non-coding RNA. The record is from Rfam. Lineage: Eukaryota; Metazoa; Platyhelminthes; Trematoda; Strigeidida; Schistosomatidae.
ACCGAGUUGACAAGUCCAAAAUAGGACGAAAUGUGCGUUCUCGAU